This 263-nucleotide unclassified non-coding RNA is filed under the name plant metagenome. RNAcentral's name for it is "partial contains small subunit ribosomal RNA, internal transcribed spacer 1, and 5.8S ribosomal RNA". The record is from RNAcentral.
UUUCCGUAGGUGAACCUGCGGAAGGAUCAUUAUUGUAUAACCGAGGUGCGAGGGCUGUCGCUGACCCGAAAGGUCGUGCACGCCCGAGUGCCCUGACACACAUCCAUCUCACCCCUAUGUGCACCACCGCGUGGGUCCCCCUUUGGCUUGUUCGGAGGGGGGCUUACGUUUUCACACAAACUUUGUAUGCAGUGUAGAAUGUAUUUUUUGUUUUUGCGAUCACGCAAUCAAUACAACUUUCAACAACGGAUCUCUUGGCUCUC